UAUUAACCUCGUAUUGUUUUCCAUUUGUGUACAUUUUCUAAAAGCACAGACCAUACACUCACAUUGCUAGGCCCUGAAGGGCCCUGUCCAAAUGAGGAGCCUGAGGCUUAGCUCCUACCAGCUCUGUGGUAAACACUUGACUGUGUUUUAGAGCCCGGCAGAGGGCUUUGAAUCCUCACUGUGCCGCUAGGCAGCUAUGCAGCCAUGAAGGAAGUGAACACUGGUUCUCCUGAGCAGCCCGUUCUGCAACUCUACAUUAGAAAUGAUGUCUGUCUUUCACUGGGGUGCAUGAGGAUUGAGGAAAUGUGCAUAAGAGGCUUAGCCUGACACACAAGGGUGUCCACUGUGAGUGGCAGCACAGGCUCACUUUUCAGGGACACAGUCAGUCCCUGCCAGCGCUUGCACAGCUGGUGAAGAUGGACCAGAGUCUUGGCCUGGCCUAACUCUUGCAAGACUUCUUGCAAGAUCAGUGCCCUGCCUGAGUGCCCUGAUGCCAGCUCCACAGGAGGACCUCUGGUGGCCAAGAACAGGAGGAAAGAAAGGAGAGAGAAGCAGUGGCCACACACAGCAGGACCUUACGGACUCCAGCUGACCAGGAGUCCAUGAUGCAGGGUGGCAGAGCUGACACUGCCCAUCAUGUUGGCCUCUUUCAACAUGAUGCUACUGAAGUGUUACCGUUCAUCCUGCCCAUCUCCAAAGCUCCAUGACUGCUUGUCCCAGGCUCCAGGUCUCUCCCAGAUCUGCAUGCAGUUGGAACUUGUUUCAUAUCUUCAAUAUUCAUCAGAAGGUCAAAAGACAUGAUUACAAGAGUGAGAAGGUGAACCUCAGAGUACGAGAAGACACUGGCCACAUGAAUCACCAAGACUUUUAUCCAGAACUGAUAAAGAACUCCAAAACAACAACAACAAAAAAUAUUGGCUGACAUCGCUAAUCCAAAAAUCCAAAAUUCAAAAUGCUCCAAAAUCUAAAACUAUCUGAGAGCCUAUUUGAUGCCCCAAGUGGAAAAUUCCACACCAGGAAACUUUAUUUCAUGCACAAAAUUAUUCAAAAUACUGUAUAGAAUCACCUCCAGUGUAUGUGUGUAAGGUAUGGAUGAAACUUAAAAGAAUCCCAUGUUUAGACUUGGAUCUCAUCCCCAAGAUAUCUCAUUAUGUACAUGCAAAUAUUCCAAAAUCCAAAGAAAUAUCCAAAAUCUGAAACACUUCUGGUCCCAAGCAUUUCAAAUAAGGGCUACUCAACCUGUGCAACCAGAUGGAAAAAUAGCAAAGACAAAAAUAAAAUCCUACAAAACAAACUGUCCAAAAGAACAUGGCCAUUCAAUGUAUAAAAGGGUGCUCAAUUUUCAUUGCAAGAAAUGCAAAUAAACCCAUGUUACAAUGCCAAUAGGCACGCA
Molecule: long non-coding RNA, 1393 nt
Filed under: Heterocephalus glaber (naked mole-rat)
Lineage: Eukaryota; Metazoa; Chordata; Mammalia; Rodentia; Bathyergidae
Description: lncRNA (ENSHGLG00100040559.1)
Source: RNAcentral